This 86-nucleotide transfer RNA is filed under the name Archangium lansingense. RNAcentral's name for it is "tRNA-Arg". It matches the Rfam family "tRNA", at positions 17 to 71 of the family's 71-position model. From Rfam's summary of the family: Transfer RNA (tRNA) molecules are approximately 80 nucleotides in length. Their secondary structure includes four short double-helical elements and three loops (D, anti-codon, and T loops). Lineage: Bacteria; Pseudomonadati; Myxococcota; Myxococcia; Myxococcales; Archangiaceae. The record is from RNAcentral.
GGCAGAGGAAGCCAGGGGAAGGGAUAGAAUCAGCGGACGGCGGUUUCCUAAACCGCAGGCCGCUGGUUCGAUUCCAGCCGGGGCCA